AAGCUCUCAUCGCCCUACCACCUCCAGGCACCACUUAACUCCUCCAGACCAGCACCACGCAAAUGACGAAAGCUCAUAUAGCUGCCAUUCCUGGCAAUGGCAUUAAUUUCCAUUAACCGUUGCUGGAGAUGAUGGGUAACUUUUUUUAUUUAAGCCUCAGUUAUAGCAUUUUUCUGUACUUUUAUCAUAUACAAGGCAUAUUUUUCUUUUUUUUUAGAUUUUUAUAUAUAGUUGGUGAAAUUUUAAAUAUUAAAAAUGAAUUUAAAAGUUAAUCCGACAUAUCUGUUUAACUUGUCAUCCUCAACAUUCGGAGUACAUUUCCAUGGAACCAUUACAUCAUUUCAAAGCACUACCAAACAAAAAUAUCCUUAUAAUGACGAAAAAACCAUAAAUUAGAACUUUUUGUUUUUUUGUUAAUUUUCUAGUGCUAUUAAUUUGUAUUUUGCCUUUUUGGCUUUCGGUUAAAAAAAAUAUCAAAGAAACCAAAGGAAUCAUAAGCCGCCAAAUUUAUUUUUUUUUGGUAACAAUCAUACGCCACUUUGUUUGUUUAAGAAAAAAGAAACCAGAUUUGACUUAUUCCAUAAACAAUGGAUUUAUUCGGUUGAAAAACAACGGCAUCUUCAAAACUUGUAAUCUAAACACUAAGUUAACCCAAGUGCGUUUAUACCAUGAUCUAAAACCCCAAUUUUGACUUCUUAACUGAAAUUAAACGAUAAUCAUAAAAUUUUGGAAUAAAUUCUAAUGUCACAUCAAUUAGGAAAAGCCAAAAAAGAAAAAAUGCAAUUUACAUUUUAGAACCAAUACAUCAUAACAAAAAAUAAAAAUAAAAAAACUCACUUUCAUCUUAUUAAUAAAUUGUCCUUUCACAGAAAAAACAAUUGUGAACUAGUUAGUUUGGGAAAUAAUUUUUAAGAUGUUUUUAUUUUGGUUAUUUAAAAUGAAAUUAUUAUAUUUUGGUUACUCAAUUCUUAAGUUGUUUUUAUUUUAAUCAUUUAAAAUAUAUUAUCUUUUAAGUAUUAAUUAGGUAAAAAAUUAAAAAUUAAAAUAAAAAAGUGAUAAAAAUUAAAAUAAUACAUAAAAUUUGUCAAAUUGUAUUUAUUCAUCCCAUUUUUGAAAAUAUUAAUUUUUUUAAUAUUAAAAAUUUAAAUUUUAAAAUAUUAAAAUCAAUUAAAUAAAUUAUUGAAAAUUUUAAUCCCUUGAUAGUGUCACCUAAUUUGUUACUUGAACAAAAAAAAAUCUAUUUUAAGUGAUCAAAAUGAAAACGACCCAAACGUUAGAUGACUAAAAUAAAAAUGUAAUCAUAAUGUGUUAUGUAUAAUUAAUCGACAUUAAAAAUUUAACGCUUGAGUGGUUAAAAUAAAAUCCCUUAAAAAUUGAACAACUAACUUGUGACAGCCCUAAAGUGACCCUAGUCGGAAAGCGGUUUCGGGACCGCUAAACCGAGUCACCAAACUAUUUGAAUAUGAUAUUUAUUGUCUAAAAUAUGUGAUUAUGAAUGUGUGAAAGUUUUAAGCUUCGAUUUAGUAAAUUGCAAGUGAAAUUAGUCAAUAGGACUUAUGUGUGACACUUUUGAAAUGUGAUAGGUUAAUCUAUAAGGAUCUAUUAGUGCAUGUAAUCAAAGGGGUGGACUUGCAUGUCAAUUUCCCCCAUUUAAUUACUAGUGGCCGGCCAUGACAAAGGGUGAUGGGAAAAACAAGUCAUAAAACAUGUUGUGAUAAUGGUUUAUGUUAGAAAAAAAUAAAAUAAGGAGUAUGGGCAAUAAAAUAAUAAUGGGAAGGUAAAUGAUGAAAAAAAAAUGUGUGUGGUUGCCUCCCCCAUUGCCGUGAAUUGAAAAAAAAAAGAAAGAAGUUCUCAUGUUUUUCUUGGCCGAAUGGGAGAAAGAGAAGAAGGGGGAAGAGCUUUGAGAAAAUCGGCUAUGGUGGGUUGCUAGACUAAGGUAUGUUUGAUGUUGUCCAUGAGAUUCAUGCAUGUUUUUAGUUGUUAGUUUGAGUUCUACCUAGCCCAUGGUUUAAAUCUUUGCUAUGAGAUGGAGAUGAUAUUCGGCCAUGGGUGUUGUCUUCUUGGUUGAUGUUUGAUGUUGUGGUGAUGAGGCAUGAAGAUGAGUCAAGUUUCGGCUAAGGUGGAUUUGUGUUGAUGUCAUUUGCAUGCUAAGUGUGAAGCUUUGUAAUGAUACAUGUGAUGGUGAUUGAUGACUCUUGGAUUUUCUUUUUGGCAUUUUUGAGUUAGACAUUAAGUUCCUUGUGUAACCCAUGACCAAAAUUGAAUGGUAUGGUGUCUUGAUGCAUUCGGCCAUGGUAGAAAGUAUAUGUGAAAUGGUAGUAAGGUGAAGUGCAAAAUGUUAGUAUUUGAUUACUAGUGUAUAUAUGCGUAUUAGCCGAGUUUUGAACUUGAAACAAAAUGAUAUAUAAUCAAUACAAGUAACUAUACUUGUAGGAAGUAUUAAGCAUAUAAUCGGCCUCAACAUAGACAUGCAUAUUCGGCCAUAGGAAGAAGAUUGGUGUUGCAUGUAUUCGGUUAGAGGCAAGCAUAUUGAUGCUUUUAUCUUGGCUUAGACAAUCGGCUAAAAGAGAGUGUGGGCUAAUAUGUUGAGUUGAUUUAUGAUUUCAUAUGUAUGUGACUUUAAUGUCUAAUGUAUAUAUAUAUGGGCUAAGUACCUUGAGUUCCUCUUUUGAUGCUCAAAUGAUUAAAUCAAUUUAUUUGUUAAAUUAAGCUCAAGAGCAAAGGGGAACUAAAUCCGAUAAAGGGAAGGAAAAAGUGGUCGAAUAGCCAUCGAAAUCGUUCGACAACAUCCGAGGUAAGUUUUCGAGCAAUGGGACUUAGUUUAUGAUUUGAUUAAGUCAUGAUGUAUGAGCAUAACAAAUAUACGGUGAUAUGAUGAUUCUACUUGAAUUAUAUGAUGAGUUAAUUAGUCUAUACGUAUGACGGGUAGCCGUAUGUGCAUAGAGAUCGUGUCAUAAAGCAAACUAAACAUGCUGUUUGUAUGUGGCUAGUGAGCUGAAAAUGGGAGUGCUUAAUACGUGACUUGUGUUUGAACUCUAAUUAUGAAAAUGAGAUAUAAAUGUGUCAUGAUUUAUUGAUAUGUGCAUGAAUAUUCGGAUGAUAACCGGGCUAAGUCCCGAAGGCAUUUGUACGAGUUAUUACAUCCGGGCUAAGUCCCGAAGGCAUUUGUGCGAGUUAUUACAUCCGAGCUAAGUCCCGAGGGCAUUUGUGCGAGCUACUAUAUCCGGGCUAAGUCCCGAAGGCAUUGGUGCGAGUUACUAUAUCCGGGCUAUGUCCCGAAGGCAUUGAGCGAGUAGCUAUAUCCGGUUAAAUCCCGAAGGUACUUGGCUUGGGAAUGAAUGACCUUGCUGUAAUAGUUUCAAUUAAUAUGCUCGUAAAAUCCCAGCAAUGAGGUAUGUCUCGUACAUGCAUCGAUUUAGUUGAUCCCUUACAGUUAGUAUUCGCUCAGUCGAUAAAUGAGCUACCGGCAUUUGGCUAAGUUGAUCUUUUGUGUAUGAAUAUAAGGGUUGGUAAUGUGAAGUAAGUGUGAUAUUGAGAAUUUGUGCAUAUGAAAUUAUCUAUUUAGCCAUAUGAAUGCUACGCUUUAGUUGUGUCUAAUUUCAUGGCUCAAAACUUACUAAGCAUUUAAUGCUUACUCCGUUUCUUUGAUUCUCUAUUUUAUAAAUUUUGGUUCGUCAGUUAUCGGACUCGGGAUUAUUGAAGUCGAAGUCUCCCACACAAUCAAAGCCCCUUUUGGUACACUUUUGGUUGAACUUUGAAAUGACAUGUAUAGGACUACCCUUUUGUUGUGGGUCAUGUACCCUUUGGUUUUGUAUAAAUUUGGAUAGCCAUGCGAAAAUGGCUUAUAUAUAUUUUUGAGCAUAAUGUUAUAAUCAUUUUGUAUGUAUAUGGUUAUUGAGAGGUGUGGAUAUGCUUGGCAAAGAUUGGACAUUGGAAUGGUUAAUCACGAUCAUACUUUGUGCUAUAUGCUAAAGGGUUAGUUGAAUCAUGGAAACUAUGUAAUAGGUAAAAUCUACCUUAAAGGUAGAUACUGAUAGAAGCAGUGGUGUGAAUUUGAAAAAUCACUAAAAAUAGUAGGAAUGGAAUUAAAUAGUGAAUAAAUUAUGUAAUCGAACCUUGAUGAACCUACUUCCAUAUGGAAGAAACGAAACGGUCAUAUAAGUCGUAUUUUAAGAGAUAUUUAAGUUUUCGCGGGACAGGGCCAGAGUGAUUUCUGGAUCCCCUGAUCUUACUUUGGAAAUUCAUUAUAAAUUAACCAGAGAUAAUUAGAAGUCAUGCCAUAUAUGUAUAGAUUCCUUUUUGAGUCUAGUUUCAUUAGAAACAAACAUCAUAAGUAUUGAAUCCCUGUAUAAGGAGUUAUCUAAGUCGCAAUGCAGGAAGGUCAGUGUAGUCGAACCCUGUAACAGGGUAGACUUUAACUAAUAAACUGUACUAUUUGGCUUGACCAAAAAUUCUAGAAAAAAAUUUAUGGAUGGAUAUAUGAGUCUAGUUUCAGGGAAAAAUUACGAAACUGAUUUUUGAGUUUUGGAACUCAAGAUAUGAUUUUUAAGGUGACAGUGACGCAGUUAGCCAGCUGUCUGGAAAAUUUUUAAAAUGGACUGUGAACAUACAUGAAUUAUGUCUGUUAGCACCUCGUGGUCGCUUCCGACAACGGUCUCGGGUACGGGGUGUUACAAUUUUAUUGGUAUCAGAGCUACGGUUUAGUCAAUUCUAGGACUACCGUAAUACGUGUGGGUCUAGCAUACAUGCCAUUUUGUGAUUAUUUGAUAGUGUGGUGAUUUCUGACAUUUGCAAAUGUGUUUAUUUAUAGUAAUGGAUCCCGAUCCUGACCGAGCGGUAGUUGAUGAUCUUGAGAGUGUAGCGCUUGCUCCCGCACAAGGGACAGCGCCGGCGGACUCUCAACCUAUUGCUAGCAAUCCGAAUGAUGAGGCUAGGUAAGCUUUUUAUAGCGUGAUGAAUGAUUGGUUCAACCAAUACAUUCGAACUAAUACGGCUGUUCCAGAACCUCCAUUCCCGACUAAUGCCGCCCUCGCACCUACAAUACCUCCGAAAACUGACCAAAUAAGGUCAAAUAAGCCCCCAGUUGACAGAAUCCGAAAACACGGGGCUACCGAAUUUAAGGCUACGGAUAGCGAUGAUGCCGAGCAAGCUGAAUUUUGGUUGGACAACAUUAUUCGGGUACUCGAUGAGCUAUCUUGCACACCCGAUGAGUGCCUAAAGUGUACUAUCUCCUUGCUACGUGAUUCUGCCUACUAUUGGUGGAAUACGUUGACUUCUGUUGUGCCCAGAGAGCAAGUAACUUGGGAGUUUUUCCAAACCGAGUUUCGGAAAAAGUAUAUCAGUCAGAGAUUUAUGGAUAAAAAACGGAAGGAAUUUCUUGAACUUAAACAAGGUUCCAUGUCGGUUACCGACUAUGAACGAAAAUUUGUGAGGCUUAGCCGAUACGCACGAGAAUGCAUUUCCUCAGAAGCCGUAAUGUGUAAACGUUUCGAGGAUGGACUGAAUGAUGAUAUAAAGCUGUAUGUUGGCAUCUUAGAAAUUCGAGAAUUUGUGGUACUUGUCGAGCGAGCUUGCAAAGCCGAGGAGCUCAGUAUGGAGAAAAGAAAAGCUGAUAUGGGAGCAAAGGAGUUUCGUAAGAGGUCUUCGGGGAGGCCCUUUCAACAAUCAUCGAAAAAGUUUAGAGAUGAUUUGGGCCGAUCUAGAGACACUUCGGGUUUUUCUAGACGAGACCGUGAUCGACCCCCUGUGAGUGCACAAGUCACUUCGGUCGCCAGUGUUGGAAAUGACCGUCGAGACAGAACGGAGUGCCAGUAUUGUGGUAAAUGGCACUCGAGGAGUUGUAGAUUCCAUGACCGCUCCUGUUACAAGUGCGGGUCAGCUGACCACUUUAUUAGAGAUUGCCCGAGAUUGUCUGAACACAACGUAAAUCAGAGUGGGAAGCCUGGUGCUACUACUGCUCGGGGUAGACCAUCUAGGAAUACGGGCAAUGCUAGUGGAAGUCAGAGAGGAUCUAGAGAUGCUACAACCAGAUCUGAGGCUCGUGCUCCUGCUAGAGCUUACGCUAUACGCGCACGCGAGGAUGCUUCCUCGCCAGAUGUUAUUACCGGUACUUUUACUCUCUUUGAUACUAAUGUGAUUGCUUUGAUUGACCCUGGUUCUACUCAUUCUUAUAUAUGUGAAACCUUAGCAUCCAGUAAGACUCUACCUGUUGAGUCUACUGAGUUUGUAAUUCGGGUGUCAAAUCCUUUGGGUCGUUACGUGCUUGUCGACAAAGUGUGCAAGAAAUGUCCCCUAGUAAUCCGAGGUUCCUGUUUUCUGGCCGAUUUGAUGCUUUUACCGUUUUACGAGUUUGAUGUUAUCCUCGGUAUGGAUUGGUUGACCGUACAUGAUGCAAUUGUAAAUUGAAAAAGAAAAACCAUCGAUUUGAGGUGUGUAAAUAACGAGAUAAUCCGAGUUGAGUCUACGGACUUAAAGGGGUUGCCAGCUGUAAUAUCAUCAAUGUUGGCCCAGAAAUAUGUAAGAAAGGGGUGCGAAGCAUACCUUGCGUAUAUACUUGAUGACAAAGAGUUAGAAAAGAAAACCGAAUCUGUGCCGGUGGUUUGUUGAAUACCCGGAUGUUUUUCUCGAGGAAUUACCGGGUUUACCACCUGUUCGGGAGGUAGAGUUUGGUAUUGAGCUUGUACCUGGGACUACGCCGAUUUCGAUAGCUCCGUAUCGUAUGGCACCAACCGAGUUAAAAGAGUUGAAAGCUUAGUUGCAAGAAUUGACGGAUAGAGGUUUCGCUCGACCAAGUUUCUCACCUUGGGGUGCACCAGUAUUGUUUGUGAAAAAGAAGGACGAAACCAUGAGGUUGUGCAUCGACUAUCGUCAGCUGAAUAAGGUGACAAUAAAGAAUAAAUAUCCGAUGCCGCGCAUUGAUAAUUUGUUUGAUCAACUAAAGGGAGCCUCAGUGUUUUCAAAGAUAGACUUGAGAUCGGGUUAUUAUCAGUUGGUAAUUCGAGAUUCAGAUAUACCCAAAACUGCUUUCAGAACGAGAUACGGUCACUACGAAUUCUUAGUGAUGCCGUUUGGGCUCACUAAUGCCCCUGCGGUAUUUAUGGAUUUGAUGAAUCGGAUCUUCAGACCGUAUUUGGAUCGGUUUGUAGUUGUGUUUAUCGAUGAUAUUUUAGUUUAUUCGAGAAAUGAAACCGAUCAUGUUGAACACCUGGGAUUAGUGUUGCAAAUUUUGUGGGAUAAGCAGUUAUAUGCUAAGUUCAAUAAGUGUGAGUUCUGGUUAAGAGAGGUUAGCUUCUUGGGUCAUGUGGUAUCUGCAUCGGGUAUUCGAGUUGACCCGAGCAAAAUUUCAGCCAUACUUAACUGGAAGCCUCCGAGAAAUAUUACUAAGGUUUGAAGCUUUUGGGGACUUUCUGGUUACUACCGACGGUUUGUAAAAGGUUUUUCGAUGAUAGCCACACCAAUGACGAAGCUACUUCAAAAAGAUGUUAAGUUCGAAUGGACGAAAAAAUGUCAGAAAAGUUUCGAUCAACUGAAAACUUAUCUGACUGAAGCUCCAAUUCUAGUGCAGCCCGAAUCAGGCAAAGAGUUUGUCAUUUAUAGUGAUGCCUCCCUACUUGGGUUGGGUUGCGUAUUGAUGCAAGAAGGUCGAGUUGUGGCCUAUGCGUUGAGACAAUUAAAUCCACAUGAGAAAAAUUAUCCGACUCAUGAUCUCGAAUUAGCUGUCAUCAUAUUCGCUUUGAAAAUAUGGCGACAUUACUUAUUUGGUGAGAAGUGCCAUGUAUUUUCGGAUCACAAAAGUCUCAAAUAUUUGAUGACUCAAAGAGACUUGAAUCUGCGAGAAAGGCGUUGGCUUGAGUUGUUGAAAGAUUAUGAACUUGUCAUUGACUAUCACCCAGGAAAGGCUAAUGUGGUUGCGGAUGCCUUAAGUCGUAAAUCACUGUUUUCUUUACGAGUGAUGAAUGUACACUUGUCUGUUCUAUCCGACAAUGUGUUAGUGGCGGAAUUAAAGGCCAAACCAUUGUUGAUUCAUCAAAUUCGUGAAGCUCAGAAAGUCGAUGAUGAAUUGGUUGCAAAAUGGGCUGAAUGUGUUCCGAAUAUGGAAUCAGAGUUUCAAAUUGAUGAUGACGAUUGUUUGAGGUUCAGAAGUCGGUUGUGUGUUCCAAGAAAUUCAGAACUCAUUUCGAUGAUUCUGAACGAAGCUCAUUGUAGCCGAAUGUCAAUUCACCCGGGGAGUACGAAAAUGUACAACGAUCUGAGACGUCAGUUUUGGUGGCAUGGUAUGAAACGAGACAUUUCCGAUUUUGUCUCGAAGUGCUUAGUAUGUCAGCAAGUGAAGGCGGAACAUCAAGUGCCUACUGGUUUACUUCAGCCGAUCAUGAUACCUGAAUGGAAAUGGGAUCGAGUCACGAUGGAUUUUGUGUCUGGGUUGCCAUUGUCGACAAGUAAGAAAGAUGCGAUUUGGGUUGUUGUCGAUAGACUAACUAAGUCGGCUCAUUUUAUCCCCGUACGUACGGAUUUUUCAUUGGAUAAACUAGCUGAAUUGUAUGUUUCUCAGAUUGUGAGAUUACACGGGGUACCGAUUUCUAUUGUGUCGGAUAGAGAUCCGAGAUUCACCUCGCGAUUUUGGAAGAAAUUGCAAGAAGCUUUAGGUACCAAGCUGCAUUUUAGCACCGCUUUUCAUCCACAAACCGAUGGUCAAUCCGAGCGGAUAAUUCAGAUACUUGAGGAUAUGUUGAGAUGUUGCAUCCUCGAGUUUAGUGGCUCAUGGGAGCGGUAUUUACCUUUGAUUGAAUUCGCUUACAACAAUAGUUUUCAAUCAAGUAUUAAGAUGGCACCUUACGAGGCUUUGUACGGGCGUAAAUGCCAUACGCCAUUGUUUUGGACCGAGCUCGGUGAAAGCAAAAUUUUCGGAGUGGAUUUGAUUAAAGAUGCUGAACAGAAAGUAAAAAUAAUUCGUGAAAGUCUGAAGGCAGCACCAGAUCGUCAGAAGUCGUAUGCGGAUUUAAAACGAAGAAAUAUUGAGUAUCAGGUGGGAGACAAAGCGUUUCUUAAGGUUUCACCUUGGAAAAAGAUACUCAGAUUUGGCCGUAAGGGCAAAUUGAGUCCGAGAUUCAUUGGGCCGUAUGAAAUCUCCGAACUAGUUGGUCCAAUUGCGUAUAGAUUAAUUUUGCCCCCUGAACUUGAAAAGAUUCACGACGUCUUUCAUGUUUCGAUGCUUCGACGUUAUAGAUCUGAUCCAUCGCACAUAAUUAAUCCAUCAGAGUUUGAAAUUCAACCUGAUAUGAGUUAUGAAGAAGAACCGAUUCGUAUCCUGGCUCGUGAAGUGAAAGAGUUACGAAACAAAAGGGUUCCGUUAGUGAAAGUGUUAUGGCUCAAACACGGGAUCGAAGAAGCUACUUGGGAACCCGAGAACUCUAUGAAAGAGCGAUACCCAAACCUAUUUACCGGUAAGAUUUUCGGGGACGAAAAUUUCGUAAGUGGGGGGGAAUUGUGACAGCCCUAAAGUGACCCUAGUCGGAAAGCGGUUUCGGGACCGCUAAAUCGAGUCACCAAACUAUUUGAAUAUGAUAUUUAUUGUCUAAAAUAUGUGAUUAUGAAUGUGUGAAAGUUUUAAGCUUUGAUUUAGUAAAUUGCAUGUGAAAUUAGUCAAUAGGACUUAUGUGUGACACUUUUAAAAUGUGAUAGGUUAAUCUAUAAGGAUCUAUUAGUGCAUGUAAUCAAAGGGUGGACUUGCAUGUCAAUUUCCCCCAUUUAAUUACUAGUGGCCGGUCAUGACAAAGGGUGAUGGGCAAAACAUGUCAUAAAACAUGUUGUGAUAAUGGUUUAUGUUAGAAAAAAAUAAAAUAAGGAGCAUGAGCAAUAAAAUAAUAAUGGGAAGGUAAAUGAUGAAAAAAAAUGUGUGUGUGGUUGCCCCCCCCCCCAUUGCCGUGAAUUGAAAAAAAAAAGAAAGAAGUUCUCAUGUUUUUCUUGGCCGAAUGGGAGAAAGAGAAGAAGGGGGAAGAGCUUUGAGAAAAUCGGCUAUGGUGGGUUGCUAGACUAAGGUAUGUUUGAUGUUGUCCAUGAGAUUCAUGCAUGUUUUUAGUUGUUAGUUUGAGUUCUACCUAGCCCAUGGUUUAAAUCUUUGCUAUGAGAUGGAGAUGAUAUUCGGCCAUGGGUGUUGUCUUCUUGGUUGAUGUUUGAUGUUGUGGUGAUGAGGCAUGAAGAUGAGUCAAGUUUCGGCUAAGGUGGAUUUGUGUUGAUGUCAUUUGCAUGCUAAGUGUGAAGCUUUGUAAUGAUACAUGUGAUGGUGAUUGAUGACUCUUGGAUUUUCUUUUUGGCAUUUUUGAGUUAGACAUUAAGUUCCUUGUGUAACCCAUGACCAAAAUUGAAUGGUAUGGUGUCUUGAUGCAUUCGGCCAUGGUAGAAAGUAUAUGUGAAAUGGUAGUAAGGUGAAGUGCAAAAUGUUAGUAUUUGAUUACUAGUGUAUAUAUGCGUAUUAGCCGAGUUUUGAACUUGAAACAAAAUGAUAUAUAAUCAAUACAAGUAACUAUACUUGUAGGAAGUAUUAAGCAUAUAAUCGGCCUCAACAUAGACAUGCAUAUUCGGCCAUAGGAAGAAGAUUGGUGUUGCAUGUAUUCGGUUAGAGGCAAGCAUAUUGAUGCUUUUAUCUUGGCUUAGACAAUCGGCUAAAAGAGAGUGUGGGCUAAUAUGUUGAGUUGAUUUAUGAUUUCAUAUGUAUGUGACUUUAAUGUCUAAUGUAUAUAUAUAUGGGCUAAGUACCUUGAGUUCCUCUUUUGAUGCUCAAAUGAUUAAAUCAAUUUAUUUGUUAAAUUAAGCUCAAGAGCAAAGGGGAACUAAAUCCGAUAAAGGGAAGGAAAAAGUGGUCGAAUAGCCAUCGAAAUCGUUCGACAACAUCCGGGGUAAGUUUUCGAGCAAUGAGACUUAGUUUAUGAUUUCAUUAAGUCAUGAUGUAUGAGCAUAACAAAUAUACGGUGAUAUGAUGAUUCUACUUGAAUUAUAUGAUGAGUUAAUUAGUCUAUACGUAUGACGGGUAGCCGUAUGUGCAUAGAGAUCGUGUCAUAAAGCAAACUAAACCAUGCUGUUUGUAUGUGGCUAGUGAGCCGAAAAUGGGAGUGCUUAAUACGUGACUUGUGUUUGAACUCUAAUUAUGAAAAUGAGAUAUAAAUGUGUCAUGAUUUAUUGAUAUGUGCAUGAAUAUUCGGAUGAUAACCGGGCUAAGUCCCGAAGGCAUUUGUGUGAGUUAUUACAUCCGGGCUAAGUCCCGAAGGCAUUUGUGCGAGUUAUUACAUCUGGGCUAAGUCCCGAGGGCAUUUGUGCGAGCUACUAUAUCCGGGCUAAGUCCCGAAGGCAUUGGUGCGAGUUACUAUAUCCGGGCUAUGUCCCGAAGGCAUUGAGCGAAUAGCUAUAUCCAGUUAAAUCUCGAAGGUACUUGGCUUGGGAAUGAACGACCUUGCUGUAAUAGUUUCAAUUAAUAUGCUCGUAAAAUCCCAGCAAUGAGGUAUGUCUCGUACAUGCAUCGAUUUAGUUGAUCCCUUACAGUUAGUAUUCGCUCAGUCGAUAAAUGAGCUACCGGCCUUUGGCUAAGUUGAUCUUUUGUGUAUGAAUAUAAGGGUUGGUAAUGUGAAGUAAGUGUGAUAUUGAGAAUUUGUGCAUAUGAAAUUAUCCGUUUAGCCAUAUGAAUGCUACGCUUUAGUUGUGUCUAAUUUCAUGGCUCAAAACUUACUAAGCAUUUAAUGCUUACUCCGUUUCUUUGAUUCUCUGUUUUAUAGAUUUUGGUUCGUCAGCUAUAGGACUUGGGAUUAUUGAAGUUGAAGUCUCCCACACUAUCAAAGCCCCUUUUGGUACACUUUUGGUUGAACUUUGAAAUGGCAUGUAUAGGACUACCCUUUUGUUGUGGGUCAUGUACCCUUUGGUUUUGUAUAAAUUUGGAUAGCCAUGCGAAAAUGGCUUAUAUAUAUUUUUGAGCAUAAUGUUAUAAUCAUUUUGUAUGUAUAUGGUUAUUGAGAGGUGUGGAUAUGCUUGGAAAAGAUUGGCCAUUGGAAUGGUUAAUCAUGAUCAUACUUUGUGCUAUAUGCUAAAGGGUUAGUUGAAUCAUGGAAACUAUGUAAUAGGUAAAGUCUACCUUAAAGGCAGAUGCUGACAGCAGCAGUGGUGUGAAUUUGAAAAAUCACUAAAAAUAGUAGGAAUGGAAUUAAAUAGUGAAUAAAUUAUGUAAUCGAACCUUGAUGAACCUACUUCCAUAUGGAAGAAACGAAACGGUCAUAUGAGUCGUAUUUUAAGAGAUAUUUAAGUUUUCGCGGGACAGGGCCAGAGCAAUUUCUGGAUCCCCUGAUCUUACUUUGGAAAUUCAUUAUAAAUUAACCAGAGAUAAUUAGAAGUCAUGCCAUAUAUGUAUAGAUUCCUUUUUGAGUCUAGUUUCAUUAGAAAGAAACGGCAUAAGUAUUGAAGCCCUGUAUAAGGAGUUAUCUAAGUCGCAAUGCAGGAAGGUCAGUAUAGUCGAACCCUGUAACAGGGGAGAAUUUAACUAAUAAACUGUACUAUUUGGCUCGACCAAAAAUUCUAGAAAAAAAUUUGUGGAUGUAUAUAUGAGUUUAGUUUCAGGGAAAAAUUACGAAACUGAUUUUCGAGUUUUGGAACUCAAGAUAUGAUUUUUAAGGUGACAGUGACGCAGUUAGCAAACUGUCUGGAAAAUUUUUAAAAUGGACUGUGAACAUACAUGAAUUAUGUCUGUUAGCACCUCGUGGUCGCUUCCGACAACGGUCUCGGGUACGGAGUGUUACAUAACUAGAGUUUAAAAAAUUAAUAAUAAAUUUUAUCCUACCCUUCAUCCUUUUUCAUAUUCAUUUCAUGUAGUCAUUUUCAACCUUUGUUUUCAUGUUAUUAUAACAAUGAGAAUUUCUCGGAUUUUUUGAGUAGUAGUAGAACUCAGUGAGCGAGUAAAUUGAAAAUUUUAAAAAUGUAUUAUAAACCAAAAACUAAUUAAAAGUAUGCUAACCUGGGUUUUAGCUUUUCUUUUUUGUGGAACAAAGUGAUAGAAAUCGAGUCAAUGCCAUUAAAUGACGUCAGCCUCCCCCGGUAUCUUUACUUCCGCCCACUGCAAUUGGGAAAUUCCUUAUCUUUAACCUUAGUUUUAUUGUUCCAUCUUUAAUCUUUGUUUUGUUUCUUUAUAUUUUUAGCUCAAACCCGAAAUUUCAGACAAAUAAAUAAAUAAUGUGUUUCAAGUGACUAACGUUUCUAUUACCUUCUCUAAAAAUUUUGAUUCCACUGUCCCUGAUGUUUAAUCUCAGCCGUUCGAUUUUCUUGUACUUACUAACCGUCGUCGUCGUGACGGCACAGUCGACAGCUCCACCACCAAGGGGAGACUCGUACCGUCUUUACAGUCAUUUCGACCACACGAUGGCCAUCGUCGUUAUGGUCCUCGUCGGCGCUUUCUUCUUCGUCUGGAUCCUCUCCAUUUACAUCCGUCAUUACGACGAAUCUUACCCGAUCGCCACCGCCACUGCAGCUUCCUCUGCUCAAAGGUUCCGGCCAAGC
Molecule: long non-coding RNA, 13530 nt
Filed under: Gossypium barbadense (sea-island cotton)
Lineage: Eukaryota; Viridiplantae; Streptophyta; Magnoliopsida; Malvales; Malvaceae
Description: long non-coding RNA (GBAR_LNC011453)
Source: RNAcentral